This 860-nucleotide ribosomal RNA is filed under the name Semisulcospira sp. FK-2010. Its description in RNAcentral is "partial 16S ribosomal RNA". The stretch from base 306 to 860 matches the Rfam family "Archaeal large subunit ribosomal RNA", at positions 1423 to 2639 of the family's 2987-position model. The record is from RNAcentral. Lineage: Eukaryota; Metazoa; Mollusca; Gastropoda; Semisulcospiridae.
AAAAGUGUCGAGGGAAAGUUUAAUUCAUAAUAUUAAUUAUUAUAUAUAUGCACUUUUUUAUUAAAUUUUUUGAGGAUAAGCUCAGAAAAAAAUUAAGAUAUUUUUAGCUAAAAUUACUGUGUGGGCUUAAAAUUGGCCGCCAUAAAAGUUUGUUAUAAAAUAGUAAUCUUAACUUAUAAAAUAGGUAUAUUUUGAUCUAAAAUCAUUAUGGGGACAAGAACUUUAAUUAAAAAUAAGUUUUAUGCCUAUGCUAGAAUAAGUAUUAAAGCCUGGCUAUAAAAGAAAUAUUAAUUUAUUUUUUUCUUCAAAGAAAUUUUUUUAAAAAAAUUAAUUAAUUAGAAGGAAUUCGGCAAGUUUAGUUGCUCCGCCUGUUUAUCAAAAACAUGGCUCUUUGCUAACAUAAAUAUAAAGAGUCGAGCCUGCCCAGUGAAUUUUUAACGGCCGCGGUACUCUGACCGUGCAAAGGUAGCGUAAUCAUUUGCCUUAUAAUUGAAGGCUAGUAUGAAUGGUUUGACGAGAGCAAUACUGUCUCCUUAUUAUUUUCAAAAACUUAACUUUUAGGUGAAGAGGCCUAAAUUCCAUUGAAGGACAAGAAGACCCUGUCGAGCUUAAAAGACACCAUAGAAGUCCAAUAUAUUUUUAGAUAAAUUUCUAUUAAGCUUUUUAGUUGGGGCGACUGAGGAACAAAAAAAGCUUCUUUCUAAUAAUAAACAAUCAUGUUUAGAUCCGAUAAUAGCGAUUAAAGAAAUUAGUUACCGCAGGGAUAACAGCAUAAUCUCUCUUAAGAGGCCUAAUCGAAAGAGGGGAUUGUGACCUCGAUGUUGGACUAGAAUAUCCUAAAGAUGUAGAAGUCUUUGAGG